GACGAACGCUGGCGGCGUGCUUAACACAUGCAAGUCGUACGGUAAGGCCCUUUCGGGGGUACACGAGUGGCGAACGGGUGAGUAACACGUGCGUAACCUGCCCACAACUUUGGGAUAACGCUAGGAAACUGGUGCUAAUACUGGAUAUGUGCUCCUGCUGCAUGGUGGGGGUUGGAAAGCUCCGGCGGUUGUGGAUGGACUCGCGGCCUAUCAGCUUGUUGGUGGGGUAGUGGCCUACCAAGGCGGCGACGGGUAGCCGGCCUGGGAGGGUGACCGGCCACAUUGGGACUGAGAUACGGCCCAGACUCCUACGGGAGGCAGCAGUGGGGAAUAUUGCACAAUGGGCGCAAGCCUGAUGCAGCAACGCCGCGGGCGGGAUGACGGCCUUCGGGUUGUAAACCGCUUUCAGCAGGGACGAAGCUUUUUGUGACGGUACCUGCAGAAGAAGCACCGGCUAACUACGUG
This 465-nucleotide ribosomal RNA is filed under the name uncultured bacterium. RNAcentral describes it as "partial 16S ribosomal RNA". It matches the Rfam family "Bacterial small subunit ribosomal RNA", at positions 28 to 507 of the family's 1533-position model. The record is from RNAcentral.